CUCUCCAAAGAAACCGGAAGAUCCCUCAUCCAGCGGCAUUUUGAAAUUCCCCCACCGCAGAAAAUAUUCUCUGCGAGGAAGAGGAAGAGGAGGAGGGGAGGCAAAACGCUUCAAGGGAGCCGCUUGCACCCUAAGCCCCGAUCGCGGGAGAGAAGGAGGGAGGGAAGGAAGCAAGGCGGGCUCGAACAACUUCCUACUCGGCUGCCAGCAUCAAACGCUGAAAACCAACCCUUUAACUGCCGCCAACGUGGAGCUGAAUUUCUGUCCUCUGGAAACGGCAGCGUGGAGGAAGCGAUGAAUGGUCAGAAAGGGGCGGUGGCUGACUCUUUGCCCUCCCCAGGCGGUUGCCGUGCCGGGGUUUCUGCCUGUUAGUUCGCGUCUCGUCCCUGACUUCUUCCCAGCGGCCGCGGGGGUGGAAAAGAAAAGGCUGCGGAGGGCUCCUCGGAGAAGGGAGCGAGGCGUGAGCAGCGCGGUUCCUCCGCUUCCCUCCUCCGGGGCUGUCUUUCUUUCUUUCUUUCUUUCUUUUUGGCGGGCGGGUUAGGAGACUUUCUGCCAUGACUACAUAGAGCGGCGCUGAGUGAGCGCGCAUUCCCGAGCUGCCGCCGCCGCCACCGCCACCAGGCACCAUGAGGGGACAGGCGCAGGUUUUUUUCCUGGUUCUGCUGUGCCUCGGCAAGGUAAAACUCACUGCUGCAUGUGAUUCCGAAUGCAGUUCCUUAAACAACCUAACAGUAACAGACAGAACAAUAUGGAUCCAGUUAAAUAACAACUUUACAAUAACAAAUGUAACUUUUCAAAAUAAAUCAAAGGUGGAUCUUUCCGAGAAUAAUUCACUAUCUAACCUUUAUCCUGGUAUUCAGUAUAUUGUUCAUUUCAAUAAUCCUAAUGAAAGUUGCUGCAAAUAUAUUUUUACAAGUAAGUAAUGGAUUAGAAAUUCCACAAAAUUAGUUUUCAAGAUCAUUCUGAUAGGAUUGUCAUUGUUAAAUUUUAAGAUGAGAUAAAAAAUGUAUAGUGGGUGAUGGAAGUAAAAUCCAUCUAGUUCAGUUCCAAAGCUGGGAGAAAGAGGCUGAAAAUAACACAGAGGCUGGAAAGAAAGAUUCUGUGAACAGAACCACCAGGGUUUGUGGUUCUGGGGCAGCUGACCCAGAAUCGCAUACUAUCAGACUUCCUUUGGCUAUCUACGCAAAAUUAAGACUUGCAAAGAUACCAAAUGUUUGAUAAGUAGAUAUAUUGUAGCAAAGUUCAUGAAGCCAU
RNAcentral lists this long non-coding RNA (1254 nucleotides) under Pseudonaja textilis. Its description in RNAcentral is "lncRNA (ENSPTXG00000000936.1)". Lineage: Eukaryota; Metazoa; Chordata; Lepidosauria; Squamata; Elapidae. The record is from RNAcentral.